Eurytemora carolleeae is the source of this 351-nucleotide long non-coding RNA. RefSeq lists it as uncharacterized. The record is from RefSeq and is a predicted model, not a curated record. Lineage: Eukaryota; Metazoa; Arthropoda; Copepoda; Calanoida; Temoridae. The transcript has 4 exons.
UUGAUAGAAAAUCAAUACAUCAAGAACUCCACCAUAACUCUGACACCAUUAAAUGAUCUAUUAGGUAUUUUUGGAACACUGAUCGGGGCUGUAUCUGACACUGUUGGGGAUAUUCUUGGUGAUAGUGUUGAUUUAGCUAUAGAGGUUGGAGACAGUGAACAGUUUAAAAAUGUAUCCAGGAGUUUGAACAGUUUGGUUCAGGAUACAGCCGGACUUGUAGGAAAGGGUGUUCAGAUGAAACAAAUAUGAUAUUUAGUAGUUUGAACAGUUUGGUUCAGGAUACAGCCAGACUAGUAGGAAAAAUUGUUCAGAUGAAACAAAUAUGAUAUUUAGGAGUUUGAACAGUUUGGU